Molecule: unclassified non-coding RNA, 277 nt
Organism: Bos mutus (wild yak)
Lineage: Eukaryota; Metazoa; Chordata; Mammalia; Artiodactyla; Bovidae
Gene: 7SK
Rfam family: 7SK RNA
About the family: 7SK was discovered as an abundant small nuclear RNA in the mid-70s but a possible function has only recently been suggested. Two independent studies have found that 7SK RNA binds the CDK9/cyclin T complex (known as elongation factor P-TEFb). P-TEFb activates transcription by phosphorylating the C-terminal domain of RNA polymerase II.
Source: Ensembl
GCGUGUGAGGGCGAUCUGGCUGUGACAUCUAUCACCCCAUUAAUCACCAGGGUUGACUCAGCUGAUCUGGCUGGCUAGACCAGUGUCCCCUUCCUGCAUCACCCCUUCACGUGUGUCCCUCCUCAAGCUGCAAGAUCAAGCUCGUCGGAAAGGGUAUUGGAAUAGCAGCACUCCUUCGCUAGAACCUUCAAACAAGCUGGAUUGGGUAAGGUGAGGGUGAGAACUAACUGGGAGACUUGCUGAAGACAGGGUCACAGGAUCCCACCAUGGGCAGUGU